This 407-nucleotide ribosomal RNA is filed under the name uncultured Pseudomonas sp. RNAcentral's name for it is "bacterial SSU rRNA". It matches the Rfam family "Bacterial small subunit ribosomal RNA", at positions 976 to 1382 of the family's 1533-position model. The record is from RNAcentral. Lineage: Bacteria; Pseudomonadati; Pseudomonadota; Gammaproteobacteria; Pseudomonadales; Pseudomonadaceae.
AGGCCUUGACAUGCAGAGAACUUUCCAGAGAUGGAUUGGUGCCUUCGGGAACUCUGACACAGGUGCUGCAUGGCUGUCGUCAGCUCGUGUCGUAAGAUGUUGGGUUAAGUCCCGUAACGAGCGCAACCCUUGUCCUUAGUUACCAGCACGUUAUGGUGGGCACUCUAAGGAGACUGCCGGUGACAAACCGGAGGAAGGUGGGGAUGACGUCAAGUCAUCAUGGCCCUUACGGCCUGGGCUACACACGUGCUACAAUGGUCGGUACAAAGGGUUGCCAAGCCGCGAGGUGGAGCUAAUCCCAUAAAACCGAUCGUAGUCCGGAUCGCAGUCUGCAACUCGACUGCGUGAAGUCGGAAUCGCUAGUAAUCGUGAAUCAGAAUGUCACGGUGAAUACGUUCCCGGGCCUU